CCCCAGACUCCUACGGGAGGCAGCAGUGGGGAAUAUUGCACAAUGGGGGAAACCCUGAUGCAGCGACGCCGCGUGAGUGAAGAAGUAUUUCGGUAUGUAAAGCUCUAUCAGCAGGGAAGAAAAUGACGGUACCUGACUAAGAAGCCCCGGCUAACUACGUGCCAGCAGCCGCGGUAAUACGUAGGGGGCAAGCGUUAUCCGGAUUUACUGGGUGUAAAGGGAGCGUAGACGGCAUGGCAAGUCAGAUGUGGAAGCCCGGGGCUCAACCCCGGGACUGCAUUUGAAACUGUCAGGCUGGAGUGCAGGAGAGGUAAGUGGAAUUCCUAGUGUAGCGGUGAAAUGCGUAGAUAUUAGGAGGAACACCAGUGGCGAAGGCGGCUUACUGGACUGUAACUGACGUUGAGGCUCGAAAGCGUGGGGAGCAAACAGGAUUAGAUACCCGAGUA
Molecule: ribosomal RNA, 446 nt
Filed under: uncultured bacterium
Lineage: Bacteria
Description: bacterial SSU rRNA
Rfam family: Bacterial small subunit ribosomal RNA
Source: RNAcentral